AUUGAACGCUGGCGGCAGGCUUAACACAUGCAAGUCGAACGAGUGGCGGACGGGUGAGUAAUGUUUGGGAAUCUGCCUUAUGGAGGGGGAUAACUACUGGAAACUGUAGCUAAUACCGCAUACCAUAAGAUGAGCCCAAGUGGGAUUAGCUAGUUGGUGGGGUAAAGGCUCACCUAGCCGACGAUCCCUAGCUGGUCUGAGAGGAUGACCAGCCACACUGGAACGGAGACAGGGUCCAGACUCCUACGGGAGGCAGCAGUGGGGAAUAUUGCACAAUGGGCGCAAGCCUGAUGCAGCAAUGCCGCGUGUAGGAAGAAGGCCUUAGGGUUGUAAAGUACUUUCAGCGGGGAGGCGUUACUCGCAGAAGAAGCACCGGCUAACUCCGUGCCAGCAGCCGCGGUAAUAC
This 406-nucleotide ribosomal RNA is filed under the name uncultured bacterium. RNAcentral's name for it is "partial 16S ribosomal RNA". It matches the Rfam family "Bacterial small subunit ribosomal RNA", at positions 30 to 526 of the family's 1533-position model. The record is from RNAcentral.